This 408-nucleotide ribosomal RNA is filed under the name bacterium enrichment culture clone ALO1_GLFRUDD03G2WUV. Its description in RNAcentral is "bacterial SSU rRNA". It matches the Rfam family "Bacterial small subunit ribosomal RNA", at positions 9 to 416 of the family's 1533-position model. The record is from RNAcentral.
GAGUUUGAUCCUGGCUCAGAUUGAACGCUGGCGGCAGGCCUAACACAUGCAAGUCGAGCGGAUGACGGGAGCUUGCUCCUUGAUUCAGCGGCGGACGGGUGAGUAAUGCCUGGGAAUCUGCCUGGUAGUGGGGGGACAACGUUUCGAAAGGAACGCUAAUACCGCAUACGUCCUACGGGAGAAAGCAGGGGACCUUCGGGCCUUGCGCUAUCAGAUGAGCCUAGGUCGGAUUAGCUAGUUGGUGGGGUAAUGGCUCACCAAGGCGACGAUCCGUAACUGGUCUGAGAGGAUGAUCAGUCACACUGGAACUGAGACACGGUCCAGACUCCUACGGGAGGCAGCAGUGGGGAAUAUUGGACGAAUGGGGGCAACCCUGAUCCAGCCCAUGCCGCGUGAGUGAAGAAGGCC